This is a long non-coding RNA of Oncorhynchus nerka (sockeye salmon), 2753 nucleotides long. RefSeq lists it as uncharacterized. The record is from RefSeq and is a predicted model, not a curated record. The transcript has 2 exons. NCBI's taxonomy places the organism in Eukaryota, Metazoa, Chordata, Actinopteri, Salmoniformes, Salmonidae.
UUCAAGAGUCAAUUCGCCUGUAAACAGAACAUUACCUUAGGCUUGUUUAACUUCCAUUAUUGGGCUACAAUAACGUAUACUUUGACAUUUGUGGAACCUGGCCUGAGGAACCCGUCCGUAAAAACGCUUCUUGGUAGAGUGUGCGCAUAGAAUUACAUAUAACUUUAACGUACCUCUUAGGGGGUGGGGCGGUGGAUAUUUAGCUACUUUGGGUUGGGCUGCGCAACCAGGGGACUUUCCUCUUUCAGUUUACAGAAAGACACGUCUUUUGUGAGAAGCGAAGGAAAUAUAGAGGUCUGAUACAUGGAGAAAGGUGAAUAUCUACACUGUAAACUACCCCACACUGACACUGAGAUGGAUUCUCCCAGAGCCUCUGGACCAGAUCCCCUUGUUGCUACGGUGGACACUGGGCAGAUAACCAGUAAACCUAAAUGGUCACAGGUUAAAACCGAGGAUGGUGAAACGGAAUGGGAUUGUUUUCUGCAGGCGUACCUCACAAACCAAAAAUGCCAAGAUGGAGUGUUUGGGACUCUCUGGACAUUUGCAUCAAUAUGCCAGAGGAGGAGGACGCUGGGUUGGAUCUUUUUGAAGACGAACCACAUAAUUCUGAAUUGCUGUCGGACGUCGAGUGCGUCUCCAACAGUGUCUCCACUUCAGAGACAGGGACCAGUAGAGGGGACACAAGCCCUAAGACACAGAAGCACACAUGGGGUCCUGACCCCCAGUAUGGGAACUGCAGCACUAUAAGUCCAAUCGUGAAUGUGUGAAUAUAAAACCUUCCAGAGAACAUUGUGCAAGAACUGACCAACAACAGACUGACUCAAGUGAGUCAGUUGUUACCAAAAGCAGCCUUGUGAUUGUUGAACUGGACAAGCGGGUCAGAAUGGCUCCGGAGCAGUCAUGUGACCAAAGUCAAAGGAAUUGUACAGGUAGAUAUGACAAGGAUCCAUCUAUCAGAGAUAUGCCCCGGUGUUAUGUCCAGUGUGGGAAAAGACUAAGCAAGGCAGACAUUUUGAAAAUACAACAGCAAACUAGAAUGCGAGGGAGACACAAAUGUGACACCUGUGGGAAAACGUUCACCAAAUCCACUUACUUAAAACUACACAUCUUGACGCACACGGGAGAGAGGCCACACGGUUGUAAAUUCUGUGGGAAACGGUUCACCCAGUCAUCUCAUUUAAACACCCACAUGCGCAGACACACAGGACUGAAGCCAUUUUCAUGUCCUGUAUGUGGGCAAACAUUUAUCGACUCAAAAUCCUGCCAGAUCCACCAGCGAACGCACACAGGUGAAAAGCCGUACCCUUGUUCUCAAAGUGGCCAGGCCUUCAGUCAGACCGGCAACUUAAAAAAAACACAUGAUGGCCUUCCAUAGCACUGAUGGUGCAGGGAAACCUCACCGAUGCACCAUGUGCGACCGAGGCUUCAUGAGUCUUACAAAGUUAAAUGUUCACAAGCUCCUUCAUUCCGGACUGAAACCAUACUGCUGCUCCGAGUGCGGGAAAAGCUUCCGACUUCAAUCACAUCUGAAAGAUCACCAACGGGUUCACACAGUCGCCAAACCCUUCUCCUGCAAUGUAUGUGGCAGCAAGUUCUCCAACUACACCACCUGGUCCAGACACAAACAGAUCCACACGGGCAACAAACCGCAGGAAUGCUCGCAAUGCGGGCUGAGGUUCCGAUUUCUGGCCACCCUGAAGACGCACCAGCGAACUCACACCAAGGAGAAACCAUACACUUGCAGUUUACCCGACUGUGGUAAACGGUUCAGUCAUGCAUUGAGUUUGCAAAUACAUUUUCGUACUCAUACAGGAGAGAAACCAUUUGCUUGUUCCACAUGUGAUUACAGAGCCGCGGACAAAUCGUCGCUCAGAACCCACGAGAAGAGACACACUGGGGUGAAACCUUACUACUGUGAUGAGUGUGGGAAGUCCUUUUUAUUACCAUAUGAGCUUAAUAUCCAUCAGAGAAUCCACACAGGGGAGAAGCCAUACCAUUGUGACAUAUGCGGGAAAGAUUUCACCCAGCUAAGUAACAUGAAAACACAUCAGCAAACACACAUCAAGGAGAAGCCGUACGCUUGCAGUUUCCCUGACCGCAGUUAACAGUUCAGUCAAGACUUGAGUUUGGGAAGACAUGUUCCGACACACACGGAAGAGAAAUCGUUUGCGUGUUGAACGUGUGAUUGCAGAUCCGUGGACAAAUUGUCACUCAGAACCCAUGAGAAGAGACACGGGUGAAGCUUCACUACUGUGACGAGUGUUGGAAGUCCUUUUUUAAAUUUGAAGUGGAGCUGGAAGUCCAUCCGAGAAUCCACACAGUGGAGAAGCCAUACCAUUGUGACAUAUGCAGGAACUAUUUCGCCCAGCUAGGUAACAUUAAAGGGCAUCAGAAAACGCAUCAGAAAUAAAUGAAGUUUGUAUGCAGCAGGUGUAGCAGAGGGUUUGCUUUAAUGCAAUACUUUACAAGACACAAACAAAGCCACUCGUAAGAGUUUGUCAUAUUGAUGCUUGGGAGGACACGCCUGCCCAGUACGGAUGAUAGAAACAGCUGUUAUAAGCUGUUGAAUAAAGCUUUACAAUGUUAUAUAUUUUGUAUUUUGAUUGACAUGCUGAUCACUGGUAUUCCUUACCAUCACUGACUUGUCAUUCACAUAGUUGCCUAAAUUAAGUCAUUACAUUUUUCUUUAAAAUCUUUCCUUUAUAUAUUUUCUUGUCUCUAAAUAAAUAAAUACAAUUCUAAUCAAACUCCAA